This 263-nucleotide ribosomal RNA is filed under the name uncultured bacterium. RNAcentral's name for it is "partial 16S ribosomal RNA". It matches the Rfam family "Bacterial small subunit ribosomal RNA", at positions 524 to 786 of the family's 1533-position model. The record is from RNAcentral.
UACGGAGGAUCCGAGCGUUAUCCGGAUUUAUUGGGUUUAAAGGGUGCGCAGGCGGGAGAUUAAGUCGGCGGUGAAAUUUUGCAGCUCAACUGUAAAAGUGCCUUCGAAACUGGUUUUCUUGAGUAUGGAUGAAGUAGGCGGAAUUUGUGGUGUAGCGGUGAAAUGCAUAGAUAUCACGAGGAACUCCGAUUGCGCAGGCAGCUUACUAAGCCAUAACUGACGCUCAUGCACGAAGGCGUGGGGAUCAAACAGGAUUAGAUACC